Molecule: RNA transcript, 1442 nt
Organism: Oreochromis aureus
Lineage: Eukaryota; Metazoa; Chordata; Actinopteri; Cichliformes; Cichlidae
Exons: 2
Source: RefSeq, a predicted model, not a curated record
UGCCCAGCCUAUAGCUAAGCGGUCUGCUGUUCAACUAUCUACCCCACCUACAGCAGCCUCCACUCCACUACCCACUCCAGCAGCUCUGGAUGCUGCUGGGAGUAAAAUGAACUCAAUUAGUGUGUUAAAUUCUUUCCCUGUGACUGUGAAAAUGGAAGGGGAAGAAAUGAAGAAGAGGGUAGAAAAGAUUGAGAAGAUAGAAAGUGUUGCUAAUGAUUGUAUCUCGCUGCCUUUACCCAAACUGACUGUCUGCACUGCACAGCCCCAGCCACAGCAUCCCGAGCCGGCCGUGCGCCCUGUGCAGCUGCAAUUAGUACCGCCUCUGUCAGAGGCCUCCACACCACUCUCAGCCUCACUGUCUGCUGCUGCCACCCCACUUUCCGCCUCUCUCUCUGCUCAACUGGUUGCUGUUGCUGUGCCACCAUUCACUACACCACUAGUUCAAUCACUUGCAGCUCAGUUAGCUGCUCUAGCACCUGCUCAACUUCCUCUACGAAUAUCACUACAGUCAGUAGCUCCAUCUCUAGUUCUGUCACCUGAGCCGCCACUAGCACAGCUAGCUGCCCAGCCACUUCCAUCCUCUGCUGAAUGCAUAGGGAAGCUCAGUCUGCAAGCAGAAGACUGUGGGGCGCAACCUCUGCUGGAACAAAAUGUCCGCCCUGCACAGCCCCAGCCGCAGCAUCAGGAGCCGGCUGUGUGCCCUGUCCAGUCGCAGUCGGCUUUCCUUUGGCCGGAGGUUGCAAUACCUGCUGGUCACGCGUCUGUCUUCACUGGAGGGACCGAGGGAACGCUUCAGUUGUCAUCCUCUCCACCAUCUGCAGCUGCUACUCUACGUCUACGUCUCCACCGCCAGCAGUCGCCAUGCUGCCACCUGUGGAACUCACUCUGCCCGAGCCGGAGGGCAGCGAGCCGAAGGAGCUCAGUGAGCCGGGGGCGCUCACUGAGCCCGCACUGCUCGCGGACAAGGUCAGCGAGCCGGACUGUUCUCUGUCCACAUUUGUAUGUUGUUAGGUAUGUGUGUGCAUGUGUGUGUAGCUGUUUUCUGUGGCCAAGUUACAGGGACCUCCAGGAAUGGUGGGUGUGGACCUGCUAGGGGACUGGCCACACCCAAAGUCCUUGCCACACACCUGCUGCUGAUCUGGGCUUGUCGGGGGAGCCAUUUAGGAGAGCGAUGGAGCUUCCAUCGACGUGGGACUAUUGCGUUAGACUUCAUGAGGAGUGUGAGACGAGAGAGAGCAGUGAGCACGGGGAGUGCAGAGACACAGGAGCAGAGAGCACUAAACAGGGACUUUUUGGGAAGAAGACACGACACGGGAGUAAAAGGAGAGCACAGGGAUUUAUUGUCAUUUUCGCACUGUAAAUAAACGCACCACUUGCAGUGAAGAGUCCAGCGUUCUGGGUCCUCCUUUCCCCCACAUCCCCACGGCUUGCCCUGGCAAACC